RNAcentral lists this ribosomal RNA (484 nucleotides) under uncultured bacterium. RNAcentral describes it as "partial 16S ribosomal RNA". It matches the Rfam family "Bacterial small subunit ribosomal RNA", at positions 30 to 507 of the family's 1533-position model. The record is from RNAcentral.
AUUGAACGCUGGCGGCAGGCCUAACACAUGCAAGUCGAGCGGAUGAGAAGAGCUUGCUCUUCGAUUCAGCGGCGGACGGGUGAGUAAUGCCUAGGAAUCUGCCUGGUAGUGGGGGACAACGUUUCGAAAGGAACGCUAAUACCGCAUACGUCCUACGGGAGAAAGCAGGGGACCUUCGGGCCUUGCGCUAUCAGAUGAGCCUAGGUCGGAUUAGCUAGUUGGUGGGGUAAAGGCUCACCAAGGCGACGAUCCGUAACUGGUCUGAGAGGAUGAUCAGUCACACUGGAACUGAGACACGGUCCAGACUCCUACGGGAGGCAGCAGUGGGGAAUAUUGGACAAUGGGCGAAAGCCUGAUCCAGCCAUGCCGCGUGUGUGAAGAAGGUCUUCGGAUUGUAAAGCACUUUAAGUUGGGAGGAAGGGCAUUAACCUAAUACGUUAGUGUUUUGACGUUACCGACAGAAUAAGCACCGGCUAACUCUGUG